UACGUAGGGCGCAAGCGUUGUCCGGAAUCAUUGGGCGUAAAGCGCGCGUAGGCGGUCAGGCAAGUCCGGUGUGAAAGUCAUAGGCUCAACCUAUGGAUGCCGCUGGAAACUGCCUGACUUGAGUCCGGAAGGGGCGAGUGGAAUUCCUGGUGUAGCAGUGAAAUGCGCAGAUAUCAGGAGGAACACCAAUGGCGAAGGCAGCUCGCUGGAACGGUACUGACGCUGAGGCGCGAAAGCGUGGGGAGCGAACAGG
This 253-nucleotide ribosomal RNA is filed under the name uncultured bacterium. RNAcentral's name for it is "partial 16S ribosomal RNA". It matches the Rfam family "Bacterial small subunit ribosomal RNA", at positions 524 to 776 of the family's 1533-position model. The record is from RNAcentral.